GACGAACGCUGGCGGCGUGCUUAACACAUGCAAGUCGAGCGGUAAGGCCCUUCGGGGUACACGAGCGGCGAACGGGUGAGUAACACGUGGGUGAUCUGCCUCGUACUUCGGGAUAAGCCUGGGAAACUGGGUCUAAUACCGGAUAUGACCACAGGAUGCAUGUCUUGUGGUGGAAAGAUUUAUCGGUACGAGAUGGGCCCGCGGCCUAUCAGCUUGUUGGUGGGGUAAUGGCCUACCAAGGCGACGACGGGUAGCCGGCCUGAGAGGGCGACCGGCCACACUGGGACUGAGACACGGCCCAGACUCCUACGGGAGGCAGCAGUGGGGAAUAUUGCACAAUGGGCGAAAGCCUGAUGCAGCGACGCCGCGUGAGGGAUGACGGCCUUCGGGUUGUAAACCUCUUUCGACAGGGACGAAGCGCAAGUGACGGUACCUGUAGAAGAAGCACCGGCCAACUACGUG
RNAcentral lists this ribosomal RNA (462 nucleotides) under Nocardia asteroides. Its description in RNAcentral is "bacterial SSU rRNA". It matches the Rfam family "Bacterial small subunit ribosomal RNA", at positions 28 to 507 of the family's 1533-position model. The record is from RNAcentral. Lineage: Bacteria; Bacillati; Actinomycetota; Actinomycetes; Mycobacteriales; Nocardiaceae.